This is a long non-coding RNA of Oreochromis niloticus (Nile tilapia), 655 nucleotides long. RefSeq lists it as uncharacterized. Lineage: Eukaryota; Metazoa; Chordata; Actinopteri; Cichliformes; Cichlidae. The transcript has 2 exons. The record is from RefSeq and is a predicted model, not a curated record.
GUGAGUGCUUUAAAAAACCAAAAGACAAAUCAUUCUGCGCAGCACACAGCGCUCUAUCGUCAGGUCCCAGCAUCCUGCUGAAAUAGGGAGGGCAUAACCAGGUGCUGUUUUAUUCUCUCCUUGAAAGCACAGAUGGCCUCUAUUGAGACAAGUUGAUGAAUUUACAGCACAAUAAUAGUACGGUUAAUAUUAAUUUAUACACACAUGUACAUAUGUGUAAAAAAAAAAAAGUGCAAUUGAAAACAAUAACUUCUGUAGAGCCCAGCACAAAUUAAUCUGAAUCCCAGUUGCCUGUUGACAUCCUUUUCACUCAGUCACAUAUUGUUAAUACACAUCCACAAAUUACCUGCAAAACUAAAUCACAUCACAUGUCUAUGCUGGUCUGGACAUUCUUCACUUUGUUAGGUUGAAUCAGAUCCAUACAGGACAGAACAAACAAGGCAGUCUCUGAUGGUUUCAGAGCUGUUCUGUCCCAUAAAUGAUCUGAUCAGCUGCUGCCAUCUUGUGGCCACAGUUGAUUACUGUCUCUGAAAUCUGUCUCAUUUUUCUGUUUUCCAGUCACGCUGAGAAGAGCGCAGCAUAUCCUUGGCUCUUUACACAUGUUUAUUAUGUUCUGAUGUUCCUGCGAUCCUAAAUAGAAACAAACUACAGAUAA